This 76-nucleotide transfer RNA is filed under the name Candidatus Latescibacterota bacterium. RNAcentral describes it as "tRNA-Ala". It matches the Rfam family "tRNA". Rfam says of the family: Transfer RNA (tRNA) molecules are approximately 80 nucleotides in length. Lineage: Bacteria; Pseudomonadati; Candidatus Latescibacterota. The record is from RNAcentral.
GGGGCAGUAGCUCAGCUGGGAGAGCGCUUCCCUCGCACGGAAGAGGUCGGCGGUUCGAAUCCGCUCUGCUCCACCA